Molecule: ribosomal RNA, 424 nt
Filed under: uncultured bacterium
Lineage: Bacteria
Description: bacterial SSU rRNA
Rfam family: Bacterial small subunit ribosomal RNA
Source: RNAcentral
CGGCACGCCUUAUACAUGCAAGUCGAACGAAGUAGCAAUACUUAGUGGCAGACGGGUGAGUAACAUGUAGGUAUCUUCCCUUUGGUGAGGAAUAACACGAGGAAACUUGUGCUAAUACCUCAUAAGUCUUUACAGAGAAAGCUUUAUGCGCCGAAGGAUGAGCCUGCACUUGAUUAGUUUGUUGGUGGGGUAAAGGCUUACCAAGACUUUGAUCAAUAGCUGAUCUGAGAGGAUGAUCAGCCACAUUGGGACUGAGACACGGCCCAAACUCGUACGGGAGGCAGCAGUAGGGAAUAUUGCACAAUGGAGGAAACUCUGAUGCAGCGAUGCCGCGUGAGUGAAGAAGGCCCUUGGGUUGUAAAGCUCUUUCGUCGGGGAAGAAAAUGACUGUACCCGAAUAAGAAGGUCCGGCUAACUUCGUGCC